GUGGGAGUAUCCGAGCCAGGUCAAAGGAGUAGGAUUUAGGGUCCUAUCGCGCAGGCGUUCGGGGGUUCGAAUCCCUCCUCCCACA
Molecule: transfer RNA, 85 nt
Filed under: Methanospirillum sp.
Lineage: Archaea; Methanobacteriati; Methanobacteriota; Methanomicrobia; Methanomicrobiales; Methanospirillaceae
Also listed under: 3 other names
Description: tRNA-Leu
Rfam family: tRNA
About the family: Transfer RNA (tRNA) molecules are approximately 80 nucleotides in length. Their secondary structure includes four short double-helical elements and three loops (D, anti-codon, and T loops). Further hydrogen bonds mediate the characteristic L-shaped molecular structure. tRNAs have two regions of fundamental functional importance: the anti-codon, which is responsible for specific mRNA codon recognition, and the 3' end, to which the tRNAs corresponding amino acid is attached (by aminoacyl-tRNA synthetases). tRNAs cope with the degeneracy of the genetic code in two manners: having more than one tRNA (with a specific anti-codon) for a particular amino acid; and 'wobble' base-pairing, i.e. permitting non-standard base-pairing at the 3rd anti-codon position.
Source: RNAcentral